UGUGGAUAGGGGAGAAAUUCCAAUCGAACCCGGAGAUAGCUGGUUCUCCUCGAAAUAGCUUUAGGGCUAGCCUCGAUACAGAUUUGCGGAGGUAGAGCACUGAAUUUCCUAGGGGGCGUCAAAGCCUACCGAAGAAUAUCAAACUCCGAAUGCCGCGUAAUCGAUUAUCGGGAGUCAGACUGCACGAGAUAAGUUGGGCGGUCAAAAGGGAAAGAGCCCAGACCUUCAGUUAAGGUCCCCAAGUGCGCGUUAAGUGGAAAAGGAUGUGGGAUUUCGAAGACAACCAGGAUGUUGGCUCAGAAGCAGCCAUCCAUUCAAAGAGUGCGUAAUAGCUCACUGGUCGAGAGGUCCUGCGCCGAAAAUGUCCGGGGCUGAAACGCGCCACCGAAACUAAGGAACCGAAAGGUUGGUAGAGGAGCAUUGCAUGCGGAACGAAGCAGUACCGAAAGGAGCUGUGGACUGCAUGGAAGAGAGAAUGCCGGAAUGAGUAGCGAGAAUAAGGUGGGAAUCCUUAUGGCCGAAUAUCCAAGGUUUCCAGAGUAAAGCUGAUCUGCUCUGGGUAAGUCGGGGCCUAAGGCGAGGACGAGAGUCGUAGCCGAUGGACAACAGGUGGAGAUUCCUGUACUGCGGUAUGACAGAACUGUGGGGACACGUAAGGAAAGCGGAAGCCGGGAAUGGAAAGCCCGGUGCAAGCGGGGUACCAGUCACUUUGGCAAAUCCGGGUGGCAAUGGGAAGCCGUGAUGCGGAGCGAAAUAAAGUAGUGAAGUCCGUGAGCCAUGCGUCAAGAAAAGCCGCUAUUGUUUAUACCGUACCCGUACCGUAAACCGACACAGGUGGAUGAGGAGAGAAUCCUAAGGCCGGCGGAAGAAGCAUUGUCAAGGAACUCGGCAAAAUGGCCCCGUAACUUAGGGAUAAGGGGUGCCUGGGAAACCAGGCCGCAGAGAAUAGGCUCAAGCAACUGUUUAGCAAAAACACAGGUCUAUGCGAAACCGAAAGGUGAGGUAUAUGGGCUGACGCCUGCCCGGUGCUGGAAGGUUAAGAGGAGAGGUUAGCGCAAGCGAAGCUUUGAA
RNAcentral lists this ribosomal RNA (1071 nucleotides) under Streptococcus infantis. RNAcentral's name for it is "partial 23S ribosomal RNA". It matches the Rfam family "Bacterial large subunit ribosomal RNA", at positions 810 to 1911 of the family's 2925-position model. The record is from RNAcentral. Lineage: Bacteria; Bacillati; Bacillota; Bacilli; Lactobacillales; Streptococcaceae.